AUUGAACGCUGGCGGCAGGCCUAACACAUGCAAGUCGAGUGGAUGAAGGGAGCUUGCUCCUGGAUUCAGCGGCGGACGGGUGAGUAAUGCCUAUGAAUCUGCCUGGUAUUGGGGGAUAACGUCCGGAAACGGGCGCUAAUACCGCAUACGACCUGAUGGAGAAAGUGGGGGAGCUUCGGACCUCACGCUAUCAGAUGAGCUUAGGUCGGAUUAGCUAGUUGGUGGGGUAAAGGCCUACCAAGGCGACGAUCCGUAACUGGUCUGAGAGGAUGAUCAGUCACACUGGAACUGAGACACGGUCCAGACUCCUACGGGAGGCAGCAGUGGGGAAUAUUGGACAAUGGGCGAAAGCAUGAUCCAGCCAUGCCGAGUGUGUGAAGAAGGUCUUGGGAUUGUAAAGCACUUUAAGUUGGGAGGAAGGGCAGUAAGUUAAUACCUUGCUGUUUUGACGUUACCAACAGAAUAAGCACCGGCUAACUUCGUG
Molecule: ribosomal RNA, 484 nt
Filed under: uncultured bacterium
Lineage: Bacteria
Description: partial 16S ribosomal RNA
Rfam family: Bacterial small subunit ribosomal RNA
Source: RNAcentral